This is an RNA transcript of Strongylocentrotus purpuratus (purple sea urchin), 2532 nucleotides long. It is a transcript of the gene named monocarboxylate transporter 7, with no coding region annotated. The record is from RefSeq and is a predicted model, not a curated record. The transcript is spliced from 7 exons. Lineage: Eukaryota; Metazoa; Echinodermata; Echinoidea; Camarodonta; Strongylocentrotidae.
UUGACUUUGGAGGCGAAGCUGUGCUUUAAGUGCUAGACGGGUGAGGUUAUAAGCUGUCUUGUGAUCUUGUGAUCUUCUCCAUUUAUGUACCCCUUUUAUAAUAUCAUAUUGUCUGCCUAUUUAUCUGACUUUUGAACUCUGGACCCUCAGCUCAGUUGUGAUGGCCGUUUUAUGACAGUUUGCGAUGUCACGGUAUAGAUCUAGUCCGAACGCUGACGUGUGUUUACCAAAGUAACCUGUCCAGUACAGUACCACCUAUAGAAGUUAGAGUUAGAUGGAUAGAUGUAGUCUCUGACUAUUGACUCGAUCUGUGAAGGAUACAACUCCACAGUUCUCCAAACCUGGAGGAAAUCAAGAAGAAGGAGAAAAAGGUUCAAGAAUAAAACUCCGAUAAUCUUCACUGACAGCAGGAACAUGGAUGAGAAGAAGAAAUCAAAGAGUAAACGGCGCUGGUUUAUCCUCCUUGGGGCUCACAUAUCUAUGCUGGUGUAUGGAGCGACCUACCGAUCCUUUGGUGUAUUUCUGGUUGAAUGGAGGAGGUACUUUGACUCCUCUGUAGCUGAGAUCAGUAUCAUCAUGAGUGUUCUCUCAGGAUCUGUCAUCCUUUCAGGAUUCUGUUCUGGUCCAUUCAUGAAGAGAUGGGGAUGUCACAACACACUUCUCAUUGGUGUAGCCUGUUCUAUCACUGGUACUAUAACCAGUGUCUUUGCUGAUUCACCGAUCGUCCUGUGUUUUACGUCAGGGAUUCUCCCAGGUUUUGGAGUGGGGCUCAUUAAGAAUGCAGCUCAGGUGCUGGUGGCCUUCCACUUCAAGAAGGGUUAUUCUCGCGCCAAUGGCUUCAUCAGUGCUGGAGUUGCCUUAGGAAUCAUGACUGUACCCCCUCUCCUGCAGCUAUGCAUUGACGUGUAUGGUUGGAGGGGUGCCCUCCUCAUCUCGGCCGGUAUACAGGCUCAGGUGAUUCCAUCUGCUUUGGUAGCAAGACCACGUCCUAAAAAGAAGCCUGUUCUUUCUACUAAGACAAGACAUGAGAAGCUUGUAGCAGAUAUUGAAGAUGGUGCAGCAGAAAUGGAACUGCUUGAUAAGACUUUAGAAAUUAAAAAUCAGUCUUCUCAUGCAGAUGAAAAUGAGGAGAGUGAAUCUACAGGAUGUGUUCAGAAUGAUAAAACAGUGGUUGAGGCAUCAGAAGAGAUCCAGAGUGAUCCUGAUGAAAAUAGGCUUCAAAUAGAGAACAAGGUUACUACUGACGAUGCAAGGACUCAUGAAGAUUGUGCUGCUGAAGUGCAUACUACCUCAUCAGGAACUGACUCAAAGUCUGUUCCAAGCAUCCUUGAGCCUAAAUCAAAACCUGUUCCAUUGGAUGAUACGUUAAAUGGCGAUAUCAACAGCAUGGAGGUACAUACAGAUGAGACAACCAUACAGAACAAUAGAACUAGUAAGUGCUCCUGGAUCAUUCAGUUCUUCAUGUCCUCUGGAUGGCCCCUCUUUCGGGAGAGCAUUGGUUUCACGCUCUUCCAGACCUGCCAGAUUACUAUUGGUUUGUGCUAUACUGCUAUUAUGACUCACUUUGUGGCCAGUGCUGUAUACUCUGGGAUCGAUGAGCAGCUGGCCUCGUUCCUCCUCUCUGCUCUGGGCAUAGGGAGCCUGAUCGCUCGGCUCUCCAACGGGUGGGUCAUUGAUCUAAAGCUCAUAGCUCCAGAACACCUGUAUGCCCUAGCCAUGGCCAUCCUUGGAGUCAGCACUAUCCUCAGUCGGGCAUCACAGGCUUAUGGCUGGUACGUAUUUAUUGCCUUUCUCUUUGGAGCCUCAAGUGGACUAUUGAAAUGUCUUGUUCCUGUGGUCCUGAGGAAAUUUGUAGGAGUAGAGAAUCUCGCCCCUGCCAUGGGGAUAUUUACUAUCUUUACUGGAGUAGGGGACUUCAUUGGACCUAUCUUUGCAGGUGCUCUUUAUGAUGCAAAGGAAUCGUACAACCUGCCGUUCUUUGUAGCUGGCUCCCUUCUUGCCGUGUCCUCAUGUAUUCUGUUGCUUGAGCGCCCUCUCAGGCGAUGCAAGGACAGGUACCAAGGUUUGAAGUCACAUGAAAUAGAAGCGCAAAAUGAGUCAGUAGUGUGAUAUAUAGGUGCAUGUUGUGAAGAUUCGAUUUGAAGAUUUCUCCCCCUUAAUCCCCCAUCCCAUAUCCAAAUGCUGCAUGUUCUGAUGUAGGCUACAACCUGAGUGAUGUGCAUAUUUUGAAAGAGGGCAGGUCAUUAGGUAUCCUGAUGAAUAGCGGUUCUUAUGGAUAGUGAGCGGAUCCCUGUUAGACCCUUGUCACUUGUUAUCCAUACAGCACCAAGUAUUGUAGAGCUCUGAUCAUGAAUUGACAUCAAAUGUGUUCUAAAGCCAGUGUGUCGUCAGUUUCCAUAUAUGCAGAAGUUCAUAAUUCACUGACACCAUACUUGCAUACCUGCCAACCCUUCUGAAAAAUCCGGAAUAUUCUGAUUUUCUGGAUUUUUAAAGAUGAAGUUGAGUUCUGGUCAUGCGAUUGAAUUGUGAAAG